GAUGAACGCUGGCGGCGUGCCUAACACAUGCAAGUCGAGCGAGAACCGCUGGAAUGACACUUCGGUAGAAUGAAAGCGGGGAAAGCGGCGGACGGGUGAGUAACGCGUAGGUAACCCUGCCCCAUACACAGGGAUAGCCUAGGGAAGCCUGGAUUAAUACCUGAUGAAGCAACUGGUCGCAUGACCGGCUGCCAAAGAUUUAUCGGUAUGGGAUGGACCUGCGUCUGAUUAGUGAGUUGGUGGGGUAAUGGCCUACCAAAGCGACGAUCAGUAGCCGACCUGAGAGGGUGAUCGGCCACAUUGGAACUGAGACACGGUCCAAACUCCUGCGGGAGGCAGCAGUGGGGGAUAUUGCACAAUGGGCGGAAGCCUGAUGCAGCAACGCCGCGUGAGCGAAGAAGGUCUUCGGAUCGUAAAGCUCUGUCCUGGGGGAAGAAACAAAUGACGGUACCCCGGGAGGAAGCCCCGGCUAACUACGUG
Molecule: ribosomal RNA, 480 nt
Filed under: uncultured bacterium
Lineage: Bacteria
Description: bacterial SSU rRNA
Rfam family: Bacterial small subunit ribosomal RNA
Source: RNAcentral